RNAcentral lists this ribosomal RNA (253 nucleotides) under uncultured bacterium. Its description in RNAcentral is "partial 16S ribosomal RNA". It matches the Rfam family "Bacterial small subunit ribosomal RNA", at positions 524 to 776 of the family's 1533-position model. The record is from RNAcentral.
UACGUAGGGGGCAAGCGUUGUCCGGAUUUAUUGGGCGUAAAGAGCGUGUAGGCGGCCAGGCAGGUCCGCUGUGAAAACUCGAGGCUCAACCUCGAGAGGUCGGUGGAAACCGUUUGGCUAGAGUCCGGAAGAGGAGAGUGGAAUUCCCGGUGUAGCGGUGAAAUGCGCAGAUAUCAGGAAGAACACCCGUGGCUAAGGCGGCUCUCUAGUACGGUACUGACGCUGAGACGCGAAAGCGUGGGGAGCGAACAGG